UGACCUGCGGAGGGAUCAUUG
RNAcentral lists this ribosomal RNA (21 nucleotides) under Cytospora chrysosperma. Its description in RNAcentral is "Valsa sordida partial 18S ribosomal RNA". Lineage: Eukaryota; Fungi; Ascomycota; Sordariomycetes; Diaporthales; Cytosporaceae. The record is from RNAcentral.